RNAcentral lists this ribosomal RNA (1140 nucleotides) under Triticum aestivum (bread wheat). RNAcentral's name for it is "partial small subunit ribosomal RNA". Lineage: Eukaryota; Viridiplantae; Streptophyta; Magnoliopsida; Poales; Poaceae. The record is from RNAcentral.
AUGGCAACGGCGAGGAAGGGGACGGCGACGCCGCUGGCCUCCGCGUUCUCGCCGGAGGAGACGAGGAGGGCCGUGUCCCACGUCGCCCAGGCCAUCGCCGACCGCCGCGCCGACCUCGCGCGCGUCCAGGGCUUCUUCGCCGACAACGCCGCCCUCGUCAACCUCGUCCAGCGCCUCCCCGACGAGCUCUCCCACCAAAUCAUGGUCCCCUUUGGCGGCGCCGCCUUUUUCCCGGGAAGCUUGAUCCACACCAAUGAGCUCCUGGUGCUUCUAGGGGAUGGGUACUACGCGGAUAGGUCGGCAAAGCAGACGACCGAGAUACUGCACAGGAGAGGGAUGGAGUUGGAGGCUCAAAUGGAGGGCAUCAAGGCAACCAUCUCCGACCUCGAGGCUGAGGCCAAGUUCUUCGAGUCCACCGCAGCCGAGGCUUCGGAGGGUCUUGUUGAAAUAAGGGAAGAAUAUGAUGAAGAAGACACAGAAAUAAUUUCAUCAAAAACAGAGGUUUCAAGUUCUUCUGGGGGCAUAUCAGAUGAGGAACAUGCUCGGAUGAUGGCUAGGUUUGAUGAGCUUGAAAUGUUAGAAAAGGAAGCUGGAAGUACUUCCGAAGAUGAAGGUGACGACGACGACGAUGAAGAUGAAGAUGCUGGAACAAGUGAGGAUGAUGAGGAAAAUGGGGACACAUUAAGUUAUGGCAAUGAGCAUGAGAAUGUUAGUUUUGGUGCCUCAGUUUCUGGAAGUGGUGGUAACGACCAGAGUCAAGGAAAUGCCCAGCUGAAGAGUGCACUAAAGAAGCUAGGAGAAAAGGAAGCAUUGCAAGGUUCUUCUCUUGCACCAUCAGGCAGUACCUCCAUAACAAACUCUGAAGUUCAUGCUUCACUUAGAAAAGCUGUUUCUUUUAAAGAUGAGAACGGGCAAAUAGUUAGUUCGUCUAGGUAUUCUUCAGGACCCAAGGUUUCUUCAUCUCGCGAUCGGAAGAUACUACCAGGUGGACAAAAGGCUUUCACUGGAUCUAUUGUUGAACACGAUGACGGUCUCUCAGCGAUAGAACAACCAAGGAGUAAUGAUAGUGAGAAAGCUGCUAGUUCUGCUUGUUCUUCAAGGCCGGUGUCUAGAUUCAAGAUGCAGAAGGGAGGGCGUUGA